This 498-nucleotide ribosomal RNA is filed under the name uncultured bacterium. Its description in RNAcentral is "partial 16S ribosomal RNA". It matches the Rfam family "Bacterial small subunit ribosomal RNA", at positions 30 to 523 of the family's 1533-position model. The record is from RNAcentral.
ACUGAACGCUGGCGGCAUGCCUUACACAUGCAAGUCGAACGGUAACAGGUCUUCGGAUGCUGACGAGUGGCGAACGGGUGAGUAAUACAUCGGAACGUGCCCGAUCGUGGGGGAUAACGAAGCGAAAGCUUUGCUAAUACCGCAUAAGAUCUACGGAUGAAAGCAGGGGACCGCAAGGCCUUGCGCGAACGGAGCGGCCGAUGGCAGAUUAGGUAGUUGGUGGGAUAAAAGCUUACCAAGCCGACGAUCUGUAGCUGGUCUGAGAGGACGACCAGCCACACUGGGACUGAGACACGGCCCAGACUCCUACGGGAGGCAGCAGUGGGGAAUUUUGGACAAUGGGCGAAAGCCUGAUCCAGCCAUGCCGCGUGCAGGAUGAAGGCCUUCGGGUUGUAAACUGCUUUUGUACGGAACAAAAAGACUCUUUCUAAUAAAGAGGGUCCAUGACGGUACCGUAAGAAUAAGCACCGGCUAACUACGUGCCAGCCGCCGCCGUAA